CGUUCGCACAGCCCUGUGCAGGCCUUUGUGCUGCACGGUCUGCCCGGCGAGAUAACUGAGUGCAUUCCAUGGUGCAUCCUCGCCUAGAAUUGAGUGGAAGCAAGUCCAUCUCAGAAGGGACAUAACUGAAGAGGGAUGGCUUUCCAGACUCUGAUGGGCAGAGAGAGCAGCAGCCUGGCAUCUCUGAGCCCGUCCUUGGUGACCUCAGAGAGAUCACCCUAGUGGCCCAGGCUAGUGACCGGGAACAUGUACCUUCCUGCAGCCAA
Molecule: long non-coding RNA, 266 nt
Organism: Camelus dromedarius (Arabian camel)
Lineage: Eukaryota; Metazoa; Chordata; Mammalia; Artiodactyla; Camelidae
Exons: 3
Source: RefSeq, a predicted model, not a curated record